This 279-nucleotide ribosomal RNA is filed under the name uncultured bacterium. Its description in RNAcentral is "partial 16S ribosomal RNA". It matches the Rfam family "Bacterial small subunit ribosomal RNA", at positions 506 to 784 of the family's 1533-position model. The record is from RNAcentral.
UGCCAGCAGCCGCGGUAAUACGGAGGUUCCAAGCGUUGUUCGGAUUUACUGGGCGUAAAGGGAGCGCAGGCGGUUUGAUAAGUCUGAAGUGGAAGCCCGGGGCUCAACCCCGGAAGGCCUUUGGAUACUGUCAGACUUGAGUUCGUGAGAGGAAAGCGGAAUUCCAGGUGUAGCGGUGAAAUGCGUAGAUAUCUGGAGGAACAUCGGUGGCGAAAGCGGCCUUCUGGCACGAUACUGACGCUGAGGCUCGAAAGCGUGGGGAGCGAACGGGAUUAGAUA